UCUCACAAUAUUAUCGCUCUGUCAAGACCAAUCAUGUUCACCAUUACACUCUUGUGUGUGUGGCUUUCACUGGGUGACUCUAUGGCAGAUCCAAUAGAACCACUUUUCCCCCAUAAAGCUGAGUUUCAGGGUCAUAAUGUUACUCUGUCCUGCAGCUACAAAGAGUUCAGUGGUACUGUGCAGUAUCUCUACUGGUACCGACAAUAUCCACAAUCCAGACCAGAAUUCCUCCUUUACAUCUUAUCAAGUGGAAUGAAGAGUGAUCCUCUCCCACCACGCAUGUUUGUUGAAGUUGAUGUAAAUCUUAAAAAAGUGGAUCUGCUGAUCUCCUCUGCUGCACUAUCAGACUCUGCACUGUACUACUGUGCCCUGGAGCCCACAGUAACAGGAAUCCCACUUUCACUGUACAAAAACCUCCUAUUACACAGACAAUAUUAA
This is a non-coding RNA of Electrophorus electricus (electric eel), 438 nucleotides long. The record is from the annotation of a RefSeq genome assembly. NCBI's taxonomy places the organism in Eukaryota, Metazoa, Chordata, Actinopteri, Gymnotiformes, Gymnotidae.